GAUGAACGCUGGCGGCGUGCCUAAUACAUGCAAGUCGAGCGAACAGACGAGGAGCUUGCUCCUCUGACGUUAGCGGCGGACGGGUGAGUAACACGUGGAUAACCUACCUAUAAGACUGGGAUAACUUCGGGAAACCGGAGCUAAUACCGGAUAACAUGUUGAACCGCAUGGUUCAACAGUGAAAGACGGUCUUGCUGUCACUUAUAGAUGGAUCCGCGCCGCAUUAGCUAGUUGGUAAGGUAACGGCUUACCAAGGCAACGAUGCGUAGCCGACCUGAGAGGGUGAUCGGCCACACUGGAACUGAGACACGGUCCAGACUCCGACGGGAGGCAGCAGUAGGGAAGCUUCCGCAAUGGGCGAAAGCCUGACGGAGCAACGCCGCGUGAGUGAAGAAGGUCUUCGGAUCGUAAAACUCUGUUAUUAGGGAAGAACAAAUGUGUAAGUAACUAUGCACGUCUUGACGGUACCUAAUCAGAAAGCCACGGCUAACUACGUGCCAGCAGCCGCCGUAA
This 513-nucleotide ribosomal RNA is filed under the name uncultured bacterium. Its description in RNAcentral is "partial 16S ribosomal RNA". It matches the Rfam family "Bacterial small subunit ribosomal RNA", at positions 28 to 523 of the family's 1533-position model. The record is from RNAcentral.